GCCAUCAUCGCUCGGUCGAUGAUAACCAUGGUAAGGAUGAGGUCACCGGUUCAAACCCGGUUGGUGGCUCCA
RNAcentral lists this transfer RNA (72 nucleotides) under Candidatus Saccharimonadota bacterium. RNAcentral describes it as "tRNA-OTHER". Lineage: Bacteria; Candidatus Saccharimonadota. The record is from RNAcentral.